Cyprinus carpio (common carp) is the source of this 430-nucleotide long non-coding RNA. RefSeq lists it as uncharacterized. NCBI's taxonomy places the organism in Eukaryota, Metazoa, Chordata, Actinopteri, Cypriniformes, Cyprinidae. The record is from RefSeq and is a predicted model, not a curated record. The transcript is spliced from 3 exons.
CUCAAAAAGUGUGUGAUUUAACAGAGGAAAGCUGUUCAGCUCUCGCUUCAGUUCUCAGCUCAGACUCCAGUCUGAAGGAUCUUGACCUGAGCAAUAAUAAUCUACAGGAUUCAGGAGUGAAGCUGCUUUCUGAUGGACUGAAAGCGAGCUGUAAACUGGAGAUACUCAAACUUUCAUUUUGCAGGUAUCACUGAAGAAGGUUAUAAAGCUCUGGCUUCAGCUCUGAGAUCAAACCCUUCACACCUGAAAGAGCUGGAUCUCAUAGGAAAUGAUCCUGGACAAUCAGGAGUGAAAAGAGCUCAAUGAUUUACUACAAUAUCCAAACUGCCAACUAAAACUGAGGUUGUUGGAUCAUGCUGCAGAUGAAAGCCUGUCAAUAUGUGACUGGGGUUGUGGGUAAAAACCUGUUACUCCUGAGAGUGAACUUGAA